CUUGAAACUUAAGAGUUUUGGCGGUUCAUUUUAUCUCAUUAGAGGAAUUUGCCGGGUAAUCGAUAAUCCUCGUUUUAUUUUACUUAGUGUUAAUGCUUGUAUAUCGCUGUUGAUGAUAUUUUAAAGUUAAUAUUUAUUAGUGAUUUUUCUUUAGUUCAAGUCAAGAUGCAGUUUAUAAUUAAGGUCUGGGUGAAUUACUAUUUUAAUUUAUGGUUAUUAUAUAAAAAUAUAUAGUUGAAAGAGGAUUUAAUAGUAAUAUAAAAUUAAAAUGUUUAUAUGAAUUGAGUUUAAAUGAAUGU
RNAcentral lists this ribosomal RNA (299 nucleotides) under Ricinoides atewa (Atewa hooded spider). Its description in RNAcentral is "partial small subunit ribosomal RNA". RNAcentral also lists the same sequence under 1 other name. Lineage: Eukaryota; Metazoa; Arthropoda; Arachnida; Ricinulei; Ricinoididae. The record is from RNAcentral.